Molecule: long non-coding RNA, 3684 nt
Filed under: Homo sapiens (human)
Lineage: Eukaryota; Metazoa; Chordata; Mammalia; Primates; Hominidae
Description: HSALNT0156537
Source: RNAcentral
AAUGGCUUAGCCAUUUCUAUUUUGAGCACCAACUGUGUGCCAGGCUGAUGAUUUUCCCAGAGAGGGGCUGGAUGCAUGCACAGCCUGGUCAUUCUCACCAAGCUCCUGCCAGCUCUGCCACCAAGGAAACACCUGGCACUUGCAGCCGGCGCCUUCCGCAGGCUCCUGCACCCACAGCAACUCCAGCUGGGAUUCUCUAAGCCUCCAGGGGCCAGGGCUUACCAGAUGAGCUGCUGAGGGGCAGAUGGAUGAGCAGAACCACCCCUCCGCGAGGUCCUGCUGUCCCUGGCGGUGUGAGGUGGGGUGGAAGGUCCUUCUUCGGGUGUGCCCAUGUGCCGGGCUGCUUGGCAUGCUGAGACCCGGAGGGAGCCGGGCACAGCUGACGAGACCUUGGAUGCCCUUUCAGACUUGUGAAGGAGGGAAAAGCUUCUUGUUUUAGUUUGCUCAUGGGUUGGCAGGAGUAGUGACCUUUUAGUCAUUGUAUAAAGCAGCAAUAAAAUGUGAUUUCGGGAGGAACUACUGGGUGGGAGACACCCGCGCUGACCUGCACGGGGCUCCCAUGGGGGAGAUCUGUCUGCCGGGCUAGGUGGGCCUCCUUGCUAGGCUCUGACUCACCUUGGCAAUGGCGUGACCGAGUAGUGCAGUGGCUGGACUGAGAAGGACGAGCGGUCACGUGGUGUCUGGGCUGGAGGCACCAUCCUCACCCCGUCUGUCCAAUGAGGUCUGUCCUGGCUGAGUCUGGUGGCCUCUCUAGGACACGACGCUCAUGUGGUCCAUCCCUGGGGAGACCUGUCCUUCUUCCUUGGACCCAGUCACUCCGAAUCUGUUUCCUGGUGGACUCCUUUGUUCUCAAAUAUCCAUUGCUCUUGUGUGUAUGCUCGUGUGUGAUGGAAAACAUUCUGGGCAGUGUUUUGGCCACUCUCUCUAUAGUUGACAGAAACAAGAGAAAGCCCAGGACCCAUAUGUUUGUCCGUGGCCGAGGGAGAGGCCUCUAACCUCCUCUGCAGAUGGCCAGGGGGUCUGUUACGGACUGAACUGUGUACUCCCCCUGCCUUCAUAUGUUGAAGUCCCAGCUCCUGGUGUCACUGUGCUUGGAGAUGAGGGCUUUCUGGAGGUGAUUAAAAGAGGGCAUAAGGAUGGGGCCCUGAUCCCAUAGGAUCAAUGUCCUUAUAGGAAGAGAUGAGAGGACUCCCUCUUCUUUCUCUCUCUCCCCACUAUGUGUGGACAUGAGGCAGGGAGAGGGCCCUCAUUGGAAACCAAUUGGCCAGCACCCUGAUCUUGUACUUCCUAGGAAUAGAUGUCUGUUGCUUAAGCCCUCCAGUCUGUGGUAUUUGUUAUGGGCACCUGAGCAGAAGAAGACAGGUCCAAAUGCCUUAAUGCUUCUCUAACUAGUUCUCUACCAAAUGGUUUCAGAGAGCCAGGAACGAUGCUAAAGCUUCCUGAUUCGUGACCCUGGCUAAGCAAAUGUAACGGCCCCAUUGACUCGCAGCCAUUGGAGAACUGAGCUUAAGAAUCUUUUGGCGGUCUGGAAACUUGGAAAAAGAAAGGGGCAACGUAUCCCACUUGAGCCAAGGCCAUACUUUCCCGGCUGCUCAGAAGACAUUUCUCUGUCUCCCCUGCUCUUCCCCAUCUUGAAUGUGGAUGUCCUGGCUGGGAACACAGCAGCCAACUCGUGAGUGUGGGUAACAAGCAGGGACAAAAGACCACCAGAGUCACAGAGACGCAGCUGCGGUGACACCGAGGCUGUUGGCCGGAGGUCAUCUCAGCUCCUAGCUGGGUAUUAGCUGGAGGCUGUCCUCAGUCCAGUGCCGUGGGCCUCCCCAGCUUGGCUGCGUGUGGCAGCAAAUCCAGCCAGGCGGUCCUCAGCAAGAGAGACAUCACAAUCUCACAGAUCCACUCGGCUCUCUUCUCUUCUGCGUCCUGCUCUAUGGCCUGGGAAGCUGAUCUCCAAGGAUCGCAUUCCUAGGGCUCUCUGGCCCAUGGGCUUCCCGUUGGGUUUGCCCAAUGGACAGCCAUGGCAGAAGAUCAAAGGGAAGAUGGCAGGAAGCUGUCCCCCACUCCUCGCCUGGCUGAGUUCUGGCGAUGGCUGCCAUCCAGGGUCCUGAGUCCCACCAGUUUUUACCCCUUGAAGUGAGAAAGAACACGUCUACAACCCUCCCUCAUUCCAGAGGCUGUGUUUUUGCCCUUUGGUCAUGCAGAUGGGGCUAAAGCGAAGUUACAACAUUGGAAAAUGUCUUCUUAACGUCACACUGAUCUCCUUAAGGCAACGAGCCCCACAUGCUCUCUGAGGCCUGUGCACGUGUUCUGAGGACCCAGUUAUGUGCUGCGUGAUUCCAGAGGUGAACAGACCCUCACAGAUCACCUCUCCUCACCCUCUCAUGAGAGGGAAACUGAGGCUCAGGGGGAGAAUUGGCAAAGGUUACACUUGGUGGUGGGUUUGGAAUCUGCCCUGUGGACGCCCGACUAACCAUUUCUGCCAGAUGCGCGUGGGAAGUAAAAUGGGAAGAGGUGCUCCAUAGGAGGAGGGGACGUGGGUACAGUCACGUGGACCCGUGAGCCGGUCACCUGCGAGGCACCAGGGCCUACAGGAAAGGUGCCCGCUGUCGGCUUCCGCAGGGAAUUUCGUUAUCUUUGUGAGGUAGGGUGGAACUUGCAUCCUGAACAUUAAAGUUUACAUGCCAAGGAGGGCGGUGGAGUCCUUGGAACUUCCUGCCUCCCCCUGAGGCUGCCUCCCCAUGCGAUUGACCUGGUCUGGCUGGGCCUGAUGCUGGGCUCAAAGAGAACACAGGUCUCACCCUCCUAUGUGGCGUGUGGUGAAGACUAAGGAGGUCCCCAGGACCCUGAGGGUUGCCCUUGGGUGCAUUGGAGUAGAGGCCAGGGAAGUCCAUGUCCUUUCCGAGCCAGGCCUUGCCGCCGAGGUACAGCCACAGUGUCCCCCUUCCAGCUGCAGAGCCGCUGCUUCCUCAUCUGUCAGGUGGGAACAACGACCCCCACUCUGUGCACCUCACUGGCAGUAGCGAGCACGAAGUGUGAGGGUGGACUCUGCAAGGUGGAAGCCAUGUCCCUGCAGGUUGCAUCUGUGCUGCCUGCCCUGCUGAGGGACGGGAACAGCAGCAUAGCCUUCGGUACCACGUACCUUGUUUGUCAAAACUGGACCUGCCACAGCGCGGUGGCCCUUCUCCUGGGGAAACACACUGUGCCCCAGGAGGUGUGUGGACAAACACCUUCACAGCACUGAUGCUGAGACAGCCAGAGCCCAGAAACGCCCAGCCGCCCCCGGUAGGAAAAUGAAUAAGUAAAUUGGGGCAAUUGGAGAUUGUGAUGUCUCUCUUGCUGAAGACCACCUGGCUGGAUUUGCUGGGGUGGGACCCAGACCGGGACGUUUUCAUACACACAAAACGGGCUGUGCCAGGUGGCCUUCUCCAGGGCACGGUGGGUGGGGGAGUCUCAGGCUGCCACGUGCCUGGCAGGCUUGGGACGAGGUGAAGGGAGGUGAGUGUUCGUGGGGAUGCUGGGACCCCAUUCGGGCCAGGUCAAUCACAUGGGGAGAUACAGUAUCAACAGUAAAGGAUCUUUAGAUAUGUAAACACACAGAUAAGUGGCCGGUGUAAUGUGCAGAAAAUGCUAAACAACAGAAUGCAAUAAUACAAAGUUCCAAAGCAGGCAACCCUAAACUCCAUGUUC